RNAcentral lists this ribosomal RNA (1442 nucleotides) under metagenome. RNAcentral's name for it is "bacterial SSU rRNA". It matches the Rfam family "Bacterial small subunit ribosomal RNA". The record is from RNAcentral.
AGAGUUUGAUCCUGGCUCAGGAUGAACGCUGGCGGCGUGCUUAACACAUGCAAGUCGAACGCACCUUCGGGUGAGUGGCGGACGGGUGAGUAACGCGUGGGAAUCUGCCCUCAGGAGGGGGAUAACGGCUGGAAACGGCCGCUAAUACCCCAUAUGCCGAGAGGUGAAACGAAUUUCGCCUGAGGAUGAGCCCGCGUCUGAUUAGCUAGUUGGUGGGGUAAGAGCCCACCAAGGCGACGAUCAGUAGCUGGUCUGAGAGGAUGAUCAGCCACACUGGGACUGAGACACGGCCCAGACUCCUACGGGAGGCAGCAGUGGGGAAUUUUCCGCAAUGGGCGAAAGCCUGACGGAGCAACGCCGCGUGAGGGAUGAAGGCCUCUGGGCUGUAAACCUCUUUUCUCAAGGAAGAAGACAUGACGGUACUUGAGGAAUAAGCCACGGCUAAUUCCGUGCCAGCAGCCGCGGUAAUACGGGAGUGGCAAGCGUUAUCCGGAAUUAUUGGGCGUAAAGCGUCCGCAGGCGGCUCUGUAAGUCUGUUGUUAAAGCGUGGAGCUCAACUCCAUUUCAGCAAUGGAAACUACAGGGCUUGAGUGUGGUAGGGGCAGAGGGAAUUCCCGGUGUAGCGGUGAAGUGCGUAGAUAUCGGGAAGAACACCAGUGGCGAAGGCGCUCUGCUGGGCCAUAACUGACGCUCAUGGACGAAAGCCAGGGGAGCGAAAGGGAUUAGAUACCCCUGUAGUCCUGGCCGUAAACGAUGAACACUAGGUGUCGGGGGAAUCGACCCCCUCGGUGUCGUAGCCAACGCGUUAAGUGUUCCGCCUGGGGAGUACGCACGCAAGUGUGAAACUCAAAGGAAUUGACGGGGGCCCGCACAAGCGGUGGAGUAUGUGGUUUAAUUCGAUGCAACGCGAAGAACCUUACCAGGGUUUGACAUCCUGCGAAUCCCUUGGAAACUUGGGAGUGCCUUCGGGAGCGCAGAGACAGGUGGUGCAUGGCUGUCGUCAGCUCGUGUCGUGAGAUGUUGGGUUAAGUCCCGCAACGAGCGCAACCCACGUCUUUAGUUGCCAGCAUUCAGUUGGGCACUCUAGAGAGACCGCCGGUGAUAAACCGGAGGAAGGUGUGGAUGACGUCAAGUCAUCAUGCCCCUUACAUCCUGGGCUACACACGUACUACAAUGCUACGGACAGAGGGCAGCAAGCUCGCGAGAGUUAGCAAAUCCCAUAAACCGUGGCUCAGUUCAGAUCGUAGGCUGCAACUCGCCUACGUGAAGGAGGAAUCGCUAGUAAUCGCAGGUCAGCAUACUGCGGUGAAUACGUUCCCGGGCCUUGUACACACCGCCCGUCACACCAUGGAAGUUGGCCAUGCCCGAAGUCGUUACUCCAACCCUUGUGGAGGAGGACGCCGAAGGUGGGCUGAUGACUGGGGUGAAGUCGAAACAAGGUA